AAGUCGUAACAAGGUUUCCGUAGGUGAACCUGCGGAAGGAUCAUUAUUGAAUGAACUUGGCAUGGUUGUUGCUGGUCCUCUCGGGGGCAUGUGCACACCUGUCAUCUUUAUCUUUCCACCUGUGCACAUUUUGUAGGCCAAAAAAUUUCCCGAGGCAACUCGGUUUGGGGGACUGCUGUGCAUCACUGCCGGCUUCCCCUGGAUUUUUGGGCCUAUGUUUUCACAUACACCAUAAGAAUGUAAUAGAAUGUUAUAUUGGGCUUUGUUGCCUAUAAACUAUAUACAACUUUCAGCAACGGAUCUCUUGGCUCUC
RNAcentral lists this unclassified non-coding RNA (313 nucleotides) under Pholiota spumosa. RNAcentral describes it as "partial internal transcribed spacer region". The stretch from base 1 to 46 matches the Rfam family "Eukaryotic small subunit ribosomal RNA", at positions 1786 to 1831 of the family's 1831-position model. Lineage: Eukaryota; Fungi; Basidiomycota; Agaricomycetes; Agaricales; Strophariaceae. The record is from RNAcentral. RNAcentral also lists the same sequence under 1 other name.